RNAcentral lists this long non-coding RNA (584 nucleotides) under Coffea arabica (coffee). RNAcentral's name for it is "long non-coding RNA (CARA_LNC003674)". The record is from RNAcentral. Lineage: Eukaryota; Viridiplantae; Streptophyta; Magnoliopsida; Gentianales; Rubiaceae.
CUCAUUAUAUAAAGUGGGUAUAUAGUAACAACAACUUACAUUUAAUAAGGCUAUUUUACGAAAAUUUAAAUACAACUAAAUUUUUCAAUUCAAUUGAAAAAUGUACUAGAAUUUGGGACAGACGCAACAGCAAAAUUGGACUAUCAAAGUACGAUGGAGGGAGUAGUACGGAUACCUCUCCUCUGCUUUUCCUUCUUCCAAGUUAUUAUCCCGCUCGCAUGCGCGGUUUACAUUUAUUAUUUGUUCAAACUUCAGUUCGUUCUUUACGCAUAAUUUUUUGCCCAGGGCCUUGGCAGCAUUUUCCCCUUGCUAACGGGUAGAUUUGCAAAUGUAUAAAUGAGCAAUGGUUCUGAGUAGCAAUUACACUGCCCCGGCCCACCAAACUGCGUUGGAAAACGCAAACGGCUGUACGAACCCCUGCUUUUAACUUGCACCAGCGGACAACAUGUUAACGUUGCAUCUCCACGCGCGAUUCCAAGGCUAAACGUCUCCGUUUGCAAUCCAUCCACAUGCAACACGUGUCCGCCUCUGGAGGCCUUCCUACCAUAGGCACGGUCAACCCGUUCCCACCAUAAAGGUAUCCU